UUAGAUACCCUAUUAUUUUAAAUGUAAAAAUAAAAACCUAGUUAUUAAUAGUUAAGUUCUUUAAAGCUAAAUAAUUUGGCGGUAUUUUAAACUUUUCAGAGGAACCUGUCCUAUAAUCGAUAAUCCACGAUAGAAUUAACUUUAGUUAGUAAUUUUUAUAUCAUCGUUAUUAAAUAUUUUAUAAGAAUUUAAUAUUUAAAAUUUCUUUAUAAAGAAAUUAUUCAGAUCAAGGUGAAGUUUAUAUUAAAGAAGAGAUGGGUUACAAUUAAUUAUAUUAAUAGAAUAAAAAUUUAAAUAUUUAGAUGAAAUUGGAUUUGAAAGUAAUUACUUAAAC
RNAcentral lists this ribosomal RNA (334 nucleotides) under Cheilomenes sexmaculata. RNAcentral describes it as "partial 12S ribosomal RNA". The record is from RNAcentral. Lineage: Eukaryota; Metazoa; Arthropoda; Insecta; Coleoptera; Coccinellidae.